UGGGGGAUAUUGCACAAUGGGCGAAAGCCUGAUGCAGCGACGCCGCGUGGGGGAUGAAGGCCUUCGGGUUGUAAACUUCUUUUGCUCUGAACAAGGCGCACCAUGGGGUGUGUUGAGUGUAGGGGUUGAUUAGCGCCGGCUAACUACGUGCCAGCAGCCGCGGUAAUACGUAGGGCGCGAGCGUUGUCCGGAAUUAUUGGGCGUAAAGGGCUUGUAGGUGGCUGGUUGCGUCUGUCGUGAAAGCUCAUGGCUUAACUGUGGGUUUGCGGUGGGUACGGGCUGGCUUGAGUGCAGUAGGGGGGGCUAGAAUUCCUGGUGUAGCGGUGGAAUGCGCAGAUAUCAGGAGGAAUACCGGUGGCGAAGGCGGGUCUCUGGGCUGUUACUGACACUGAGGAGCGAAAGCAUGGGGAGCGAACAGG
RNAcentral lists this ribosomal RNA (419 nucleotides) under bacterium. Its description in RNAcentral is "partial 16S ribosomal RNA". It matches the Rfam family "Bacterial small subunit ribosomal RNA", at positions 355 to 776 of the family's 1533-position model. The record is from RNAcentral.